RNAcentral lists this ribosomal RNA (977 nucleotides) under uncultured soil bacterium. RNAcentral's name for it is "SSU rRNA". It matches the Rfam family "Bacterial small subunit ribosomal RNA", at positions 1 to 1008 of the family's 1533-position model. The record is from RNAcentral.
UUUUCUACUUGCCGUACGAUUCGCCUUAGAGUUUGAUCCUGGCUCAGAAUCAACGCUGGCGGCGCGCCUAACACAUGCAAGUCGAACGAGAAAGCAGGAGCAAUCUUGUGAGUAAAGUGGCGUACGGGUGAGUAACACGUGGAUCAUCUACCCUCUUGUGGGGGAUAACUCUGGGAAACCGGAGCUAAUACCGCAUAAGCUCGAGAGAGGAAAGCAGCAAUGCGCAGGAGGAGGAGUCCGCGGCCGAUUACGCUAGUUGGUAGGGUAAAAGCCUACCAAGGCUAAGAUCGGUAGCCGGCCUGAGAGGGCACACGGCCACACUGGCACUGAAACACGGGCCAGACUCCUACGGGAGGCAGCAGUGGGGAAUCUUGCACAAUGGGGGCAACCCUGAUGCAGCGACGCCGCGUGAGCGAUGAAGCCCUUCGGGGUGUAAAGCUCUUUCGGCAGGGAAGAUUAUGACGGUACCUGCAGAAGCAGCUGCGGCUAACUACGUGCCAGCAGCCGCGGUAAUACGUAGGCAGCAAGCGUUGUUCGGAGUUACUGGGCGUAAAGGGUGUGUAGGCGGUCCCCUAAGUUUGGUGUGAAAUCUCCCGGCUCAACUGGGAGGGCGCGCCGAAAACUGGGGGGCUAGAGUACUGGAUGGGAGAGUGGAAUUCCUGGUGUAGCGGUGAAAUGCGUAGAUAUCACGAGGAACACCUGUGGUGUAGACGGCUCUCUGGACAGUAACUGACGCUGAGACACGAAAGCGUGGGUAGCAACAGGAUUAGAUACCCUGGUAGUCCACGCCCUAACGAUGCAUAUUUGGUGUGGGCCAUUCAUUUGGUCGUGCCGAGCUACGCGCUAAUAUGCCGCCUGGGGAGUACGGUCGCACGCUGAACUCAAGAUUGACGGGGACCGACAGCAGUGGAGCAUGUCGUCCAUCGACUCACCCGAGACUAACUGGCUGUUCAGGUGUAGGCUGGAGAGAUCAGUGU